This 4637-nucleotide long non-coding RNA is filed under the name Homo sapiens (human). RNAcentral describes it as "HSALNT0228223". Lineage: Eukaryota; Metazoa; Chordata; Mammalia; Primates; Hominidae. The record is from RNAcentral.
UAGGCUGCAGAGAUCCUCCUGCCUUAGCCCCCUGAGUGCUGGAGCUACAGAAAAGCAGGGUACAGACGAUCGCUUCAGUGGAGAAAGAAGCUCUCUAAAUGAAGAUAGCAAGUGGUGAAGCAGAGUGAUUCUGACAUCUGCUAACUAGAUAAGUACACCGACUCCACCAGCUCAUUGCUGUGCUUUCAUUCUACCCUGUGGAAUCCCUUUUAGCCAAUCCUUGAUCAAAUAAUGAACCUAUUGCAGAAAUAAAGGGGAAGCACGUCCAUCACUACCUCCCUAACUCAGAAAAAUCAAGCUUUUUUCUGUUCUACACUGUUUCCUGUCAUGCGUAAUAUAGCAAAUUAAUUAGUGGAUCUGGCGGCAUUUGCUAAUACAAUUCCUCUCCCUUGCUUGAGGUGAAUUAUGUUCAUGCUUCAGUCACUUGAAUAUUACUCUUCCAUGUUUGACGGAAUUUUGUUAUCAGGUGACUAUAUUGCACACUAUCUGAUUCUAAUUAAACCAGAAAAUAGUGACAUUGUACAAGAGGAGAAUGUUUCACAGUGUGCACCACCCACCCCCUUGUCGCUACAUCCCAGUUUUUAGAGCUUUUUGAGCUGUGCUUGGGCUAUUUUCUUAUGUUUACAUCGUCUUACGCUUCUCCAGACACAAUGGCUUCUUGGGCAUUGCCUUCAUCUACUAGGUAAUUUGUAUAAAUUGAGUCCUGGAAGACAUAAUGUUUACACUUGUCUUUUUUUUUAAUCAGAAGCAUAAUGCACAGUAGCAAACUGUGAGUAUUUCAGAUGAUAUGAAAGAAGAAAAUGUGCUGUUUUGCCAAAAUCAUUCAUGUAACUUGGAAAGAAAAGUUUCUGAGAGAAGAAAAACUAACAUUUUAGAGGGGAAACGGAGAAAUGGGCUAUAAAGAUGAAUUGGGGAAGCAAUGUAAUGUAGAGGUUAAGAUCACAGGCUUGUAGUGCAGGGCUUGACUUCUGGUUCUGUCUUUAUCUGACACUAUUUCUUUCUCCUUACACAAUAAUAAGUGCUCAGGAGUUGAUUUGCCGAAGGUCUAAUGAUGAGGUAGUAAAAGAACCAGGGCUGGGGCUCCCAUUCCAGUUUUCCUUUUUUUCUAUACCCUGUUAAAUGCCAAGCCCUGAUUCUGCCAGGGUGGAGAGUGAAGGGGAGUCUCUGGAGUCAUCAAUUACAGCAGGUCACUGGGUAUCAGAGUCUCUUUUCUCAUGAGGAUAAAGAUGUCCUUUUGAGUUAGACUAUAUUCACCCUUCAUGAACCUUGGGGACAUUGAUGGCAGGGAGAGUUUUCUAAAGCUUUAGACAACUCAGAGGUGAAAUAGGCACCAUGCUGCAAAUGAAAGGCACUUUUAUGGUUGUCUGAAAAAAAUACAGCACACUGCUUUAAACUUAGAAAGCCCAAGUGCAAGCUACAGUCAGGUGUGGUCUGCAGGCUUUGGUCUUUUGUCCCUGUUCAACAGCUGGUAAAGCUGGGAGAGGUAAUCGCUGAUGGAGACUUGCUCCUGUUGGGAUAAUAUUUCUCAGACCAUAGUCCUGCCAUUUUCCAGACUUUUUCUUUUGGAGAAAUGGGCUCCUACCUUGGAAGAGCCAAUUAUGUAAUUCAGGUUGAACCUGGCUCUUUUUUUUCCCACUGAUCUCUAUCUUCCUUGGUGAAGACCACUUGGCCUCCGCCUCCCUGUUAGAUAUUAUUCUUGGCCUAUGUAAGCAGUGGAAAGCCUGAAUUUUGCCCAGGCUUUGGGCAAGAUGAAAUGACACCUUCUGGGUUGGUGGAAGGAAAGGGCUAUUUCUUUGGGCUACUUGAAGGACCCAGAAAGCAAAAGAAAAAUCAUGUCUUUCUUUGCAGAAUUUCUGCUGUGGAAAGAGGCAAAGUCAAUCAAGAGACAGAGAUCCUUGACACAUAUGUAUUGAAUAUCUACUAUAUUGCAGGUCAUAUUCUGGGUGCUGGGGAGAUAUCUGAACAAAACAGACAAAAAUCCCUGCCAUGAGGAACAAGGAAUAGGUGUUUAAUAUGGUCUGUAGAAAAAGUACGGGAAUAAAAGUCCCAAACCUGGCCUUUUUACUAGUUUAUAGUCUAGUGGGGAGAAAUAGACUUAAGAAACAACAAAAAGAGGAACGUAUAUAGUAUAUUGGAAGGUGAUAAGUUUAAUGAAGUAAAUUAAGCAAAGGAAAUAGAUAGCAAAAGCAGAGAAGAAAUGGAGGAGGUUUCUAUUUAAAACAGGGAGGUCAGAGAAGGCUUUCUGCAACAGAAGAAUUUUGAGCAAAGACUUGAAGAGGCAAGAGAGUGAACCAUGUAGAUAUCUGUGGGAAGAACAUUACGGGAAGCAAACUCAGCAAGUGGAGAAUUCCCAGUAUGUUUUAGGAAGAGCAACAAGGCCAAGUGUGGUGGGACUAGAGAGAGAGAGCGAGUACGGGAGAGUGGUGAGAAAUGAGGUCGUCUUCAAUGAUUGUAGUUUGCUUAACUUGUGGCUGCUGGCUAGACAGGAUGAAGUAGUUUGAGUUGUUUAAGAAGGACUUACUAGGUAUGUGGGAUCAGACUAGUGCUAGGCUAGACCCCAGGACAGGAAAGAUGACUGCAUUCAAGGACCAAGUAGUUCAGUUCAAGAUUGAAUAUUGGCCUGUAUGGAAACUUAGAAAACAGUGAGGCUCAGGUGUGUUAUAUAUAGAUAUCUGAAAGAAGAGAGAAGGUUGUAGAGGACUGGAUUGGAUAUAAGGCUCUGGAGGCAGACUGCCUGGGUAUGAAUCGUAGCUCCAUUACUUAUUACUGGUGUGAUCUUGGGAAAACCACUUCACCGUCUGAGGAUCAGUGUUUACAUCUAUAAAAUGGAGUUCACAAUGGAAGGUACAUUGCAGGGGUGUGUGAGGAUUUAAGACAGCACAUGUUUAGCAAGUGCCAUGUACAUAGUAAGCCCUCAGUAAAUAUGAGCUGACAUUCUUAUUAUUCAUUGAGGUGGUUAGAGAAGGAUUCUGUAAAGCUUGAAACCAUGGAGUUAGUGAUGUGCCAUGGACUGAACUCAAGGGAAUUUCUACUAGACUGCCCUUAACUUCUCUUAGAUGGUGCUUGGAUAGAUUGCAUGUGACUGAAAUAGUUUUUUGGUGCUGGAAGCAUCAUAAGGAGAUAGGACCAGCGGAUUAGAAAUAAAGGGGUGAUGGUUGUGCCUUUACCAACAGUGUGUUGCUAUGGAGAAGAAGGCCCUCAAGGAAAAAGAGGAAAAUGUGAUCAAAUACAUCAGCAUGGGGUUGAACAAGAGCAGUGAGGACAAUGUUCAUAGUUGACUGACUAGAGUAGUGUCAAUAAGAAUGGCAAUUUAUUGAGCAUUUGCACAUGUCAUCUCACGUAGGGCUUACCGUAGUCCUAUAAGGUGGGUACUCAUAUUAUCUUUGUUUUGCCACAGAGGAAGUGAAGGCUUACAGAAGUGAAGUGAUAUGCUAAAGGUCACACAGCUAGUAAGAGGCAUAUCUGGGACUCAGCUCAAGGGAGUUUCCAUUAGACUGCCCUUAACUUCUCUUAGAUGGUGCUUAUAUGGCUUGCAUGUGACUGAAGUAGAUUUUUGGUGCUAGGGGCAUCAUAAAGAGAGAGGUCUAGCAGAUUGGAAACAAAGGGAUAAUGGUUGUGCCUUUACUAACAGUGCAUUGAGCUAUGCUCAUUUAUGUUCUUAUGAUCUCUUAGAAACAGAGACUUGGUUCUUUCCUGUCUUAAGAAGGAAAAUCUGACUGCGGGGUAUGGCCAUCCCCUAAAAUAUCAAAAAGACAUCUAUUUCCAUUUUCUUCCUCCUAAUACCUAGGAGACAACAAAGUGGAUUUCCAGUGGUACUUCCCACAUGAGUAGAAUGAACUUUCCUUGGUAAAAGUUGACUUUCUUACUAAAGGACAAAAUAUAUAGGCUCCUCAAUUUGAGCCAUGGGAUUUGGUGGGCAGCUGGACUGAGCCCAAAGACAUCCCCACAGGGAGGCAAAACUGGCUGGUAUAUGUGGAAAGAGUGAGUGGCUCAGGGAAUAGAUGCUGUGAGCCAGGUUGUGAAUUUCCAGAGCCCAGGGAUUAGAGCCACUUGACAUUCACUUUAGGUGAACUGUGUUGUCUUACAUCCUAUUUUUCAUGAAUACUUUUAAAAUUUUUAUUUUUUUCUUUUAAUUUUUUUGACACAGAGUCUCUUUCUGUCACUCAGGCUGGAGUGUGGUGGUGCUGUCUCCACUCACUACAACCUCUGCCUCCUGGGCUCAAGGGAUUCUUGUGCCUCAGUCUGCUGAGCAUCUGGGACUACAGGCAUGCACCACCAUGGCCAGCUAUUUUUUUUUUUUUUUGUAUUUUUAGUACAGACUGGGUUUUACUGUGUUGGCCAGGCUGGUCUCGAACUCCUGGCCUCAAGUGAUCUGCCCACCUUGGCCUCCCAAAGUGCUGAGAUUACAGGUGUGAGCCACCAUGCCCAGUCUUUCGUGAAUACUUUUGAUGUAUGGAGUAACUCAUAAAUUUUUAAAAAAUAUUUCAAAUUCCUAACUCUUCUUGAAACAAUAGGUAUUAUGGGUGGCUAGUUUAUUUCUUUUCAGUUAAUGAUUGAAUUCAUUGAGCCCUUACUAGGUGGUGAGCACUGUCCGAGGUGCUGAAGGAAGAGACAAAGAUAGGAUUACUGUAUCUCAG